RNAcentral lists this ribosomal RNA (336 nucleotides) under uncultured Acidobacteriota bacterium. RNAcentral describes it as "bacterial SSU rRNA". It matches the Rfam family "Bacterial small subunit ribosomal RNA", at positions 32 to 351 of the family's 1533-position model. Lineage: Bacteria; Pseudomonadati; Acidobacteriota. The record is from RNAcentral.
AAUCAACGCUGGCGGCGUGCCUAACACAUGCAAGUCGAACGCGAAAGCCCCGCAAGGGGUAAGUAGAGUGGCAAACGGGUGAGUAACACGUGGGUGACCUGCCUUCGAGUGGGGGAUAACGUCCCGAAAGGGACGCUAAUACCGCAUGACAUCCUGCUCUUGGACGAGCGGAGAUCAAAGCUGGGGAUCGCAAGACCUGGCGCUUGAAGAGGGGCCCGCGUCUGAUUAGCUAGUUGGUGAGGUAACGGCUCACCAAGGCGACGAUCAGUAUCCGGCCUGAGAGGGCGGACGGACACACUGGGACUGAGACACGGCCCAGACUCCUACGGGAGGCUG